RNAcentral lists this ribosomal RNA (236 nucleotides) under uncultured bacterium. Its description in RNAcentral is "partial 16S ribosomal RNA". It matches the Rfam family "Bacterial small subunit ribosomal RNA", at positions 112 to 334 of the family's 1533-position model. The record is from RNAcentral.
AAAGCAUAGGUAAUCUACCCUUGAGUGGGGGACAACUCGUCGAAAGAUGGGCUAAUCCCGCAUAAUAUUUCGAUUUAUAAUGGUUGAAAUCAAAGGGGGGGCUCCUUCGGGACCUCUCGCUUGAGGAUGAGCUUAUGUCCUAUUAGUUUGUUGGUAGGGUAAUGGCCUACCAAGACUAUGAUGGGUAGCCGAGCUGAGAGGCUGAUCGGCCACACUGGAACUGAUACACGGUCCAG